CACUAUCACUUAGCGGCGGACGGGUGAGUAAUGCUUAGGAAUCUGCCUAUUAGUGGGGGACAACAUUUCGAAAGGAAUGCUAAUACCGCAUACGUCCUACGGGAGAAAGCAGGGGAUCUUCGGACCUUGCGCUAAUAGAUGAGCCUAAGUCGGAUUAGCUAGUUGGUGGGGUAAAGGCCUACCAAGGCGACGAUCUGUAGCGGGUCUGAGAGGAUGAUCCGCCACACUGGGACUGAGACACGGCCCAGACUCCUACGGGAGGCAGCAGUGGGGAAUAUUGGACAAUGGGCGCAAGCCUGAUCCAGCCAUGCCGCGUGUGUGAAGAAGGCCUUAUGGUUGUAAAGCACUUUAAGCGAGGAGGAGGCUACUGAAGUUAAUACCUUCAGAUAGUGGACGUUACUCGCAGAAUAAGCACCGGCUAACUCUGUGCCAGCAGCCGCGGUAAUACAGAGGGUGCAAGCGUUAAUCGGAUUUACUGGGCGUAAAGCGCGCGUAGGCGGCUAAUUAAGUCAAAUGUGAAAUCCCCGAGCUUAACUUGGGAAUUGCAUUCGAUACUGGUUAGCUAGAGUGUGGGAGAGGAUGGUAGAAUUCCAGGUGUAGCGGUGAAAUGCGUAGAGAUCUGGAGGAAUACCGAUGGCGAAGGCAGCCAUCUGGCCUAACACUGACGCUGAGGUGCGAAAGCA
RNAcentral lists this ribosomal RNA (683 nucleotides) under Acinetobacter sp. Its description in RNAcentral is "bacterial SSU rRNA". It matches the Rfam family "Bacterial small subunit ribosomal RNA", at positions 83 to 761 of the family's 1533-position model. Lineage: Bacteria; Pseudomonadati; Pseudomonadota; Gammaproteobacteria; Moraxellales; Moraxellaceae. The record is from RNAcentral.